UACGUAGGGUGCAAGCGUUGUCCGGAAUUAUUGGGCGUAAAGAGCUCGUAGGCGGUUUGUCGCGUCUGCCGUGAAAGUCCGGGGCUCAACUCCGGAUCUGCGGUGGGUACGGGCAGACUAGAGUGAUGUAGGGGAGACUGGAAUUCCUGGUGUAGCGGUGAAAUGCGCAGAUAUCAGGAGGAACACCGAUGGCGAAGGCGGCUCACUGGUCCAUUACUGACGCUGAGGUGCGAAAGCGUGGGGAGCAAACAGG
This 253-nucleotide ribosomal RNA is filed under the name uncultured bacterium. RNAcentral describes it as "partial 16S ribosomal RNA". It matches the Rfam family "Bacterial small subunit ribosomal RNA", at positions 524 to 776 of the family's 1533-position model. The record is from RNAcentral.